AAAUAUUUAUGAAAAAACCUUAAAAUUUUAUAAAAUAAUAUUUAAGAAUUAUAAAAAAAUUAUUUUAUCAAAAUAAAUUUUAAAAAUUAACAUAAAAAAAUUGAAAAUCAAAUCGAGCUAAAACCAACUUAUAAUCAACUAUUAAAAAUUUUAAAAAGCUGGACGGAACCAAACUGAUAUCUCACCUAAUUAUUUGGUCAUUACGUACUAGCAACUUAUAGGAUAUUUUUUUCAGUAUCCUUUCCCAAUAAUUACGUUGCUAACCUAAAGUCAAAGAAUGCAAAUUCUUACUUUGUAAAUAUAUAUAUAAUGUAAGACCCAAUUUUAGCCCGGGCCCAUGCACAUACAAAAACCAAAGAAUAAAACAAAAUAUUAAAUGUCUAUUUACAAAUAAUAAACCCAAAAAGAAAACCAAGCACAAUUACAUUAAAAUAGCCUGGUGACAGAAGGCUCAAAUUCAGAAACCCUCGGUUCCUUUCUUCCCCUUGCGCCGCAGCCCCCCACGUUCAACGCCCCACGCACGUCAAUACGCCCACACACGACCACUAGCUCGCGCGUCCAUGACCCACGAUCAUGCACUCUCCCACGAUACCUGCAAUUUGAACAAAGAAAUAGGCAGAAACGGUUUUUGUAUUCGGCUAUAAAGUUUUUGAAUUUCGAUUGUAAAAGGGUUGGGUUUUUUUUUUAUCUUUUUUGGGAGAGAAUAUAGAUUCAAAAUCAAAAGCAAGCAGAGAUCUAUAAUAACAACAUUUGUUAAAGGUGAUUCUUUUAGUUUUUUUCUUUUUUCGGUUUUUCUAUUUUUCUUACUUUAUUUUUUUCUUUUGUGUGUAAAAAACGAUAUAAGAGAAAGAGGGAAACUCACCGGAGUUACAUCGCACUCGCAUCACAAGAAGGCCCUGCUCCGGUCGUCGUAAUCAAUCACGGAGGCAGUUGAAGGCUUGGUGUUGGCCUUGUUUGCGGCUGGAAGAAAGAGGAAAGUGGAGGAGAAGAAAGAGUUUUGGGUUUUUUUAAAAAGAAAUCAAAGUUAAAAUGUUUUUUUUAGCAAAAGAAUGACUUUAAAACAAGCUUUACUUUUAAUAAUACAAUAAAGGUUCUUGACUUUAAAACAUGUUGACC
RNAcentral lists this long non-coding RNA (1116 nucleotides) under Gossypium barbadense (sea-island cotton). RNAcentral describes it as "long non-coding RNA (GBAR_LNC010092)". Lineage: Eukaryota; Viridiplantae; Streptophyta; Magnoliopsida; Malvales; Malvaceae. The record is from RNAcentral.